AAUGAUUGUACAUUCUUUUAAUAUUCAAUAUAAUUAUCAAUAUAUACAGUGAAGAAAAACCUUGUCAUAAAGUUUUGCAUACUAAUAGAGGGCAUCGAAAAUGUCAAUGAAUAUAUGUUCCAAACGCCACCUUUUUCGUAUUAGACCCUUUAAAAUUAACCAAUCACAAUCGAGCAUGCGAAGUGCCAUUGCCAAGCGUUUCGCUUUCGAUUAUGAUUGGUACCGGUACCAUUUAGACCGUAUGUUCAUCGGAAUCAUGUUGAGGAAUUUUCUUUCCUAUAGUAGGAAAGAAAAUUGUGCCGUUC
Molecule: long non-coding RNA, 305 nt
Filed under: Androctonus crassicauda
Lineage: Eukaryota; Metazoa; Arthropoda; Arachnida; Scorpiones; Buthidae
Source: RNAcentral